This 222-nucleotide ribosomal RNA is filed under the name Triticum aestivum (bread wheat). Its description in RNAcentral is "partial small subunit ribosomal RNA". The record is from RNAcentral. Lineage: Eukaryota; Viridiplantae; Streptophyta; Magnoliopsida; Poales; Poaceae.
AUGGAUUGCAACCCUAAGAUCAUCUUUUGGAAUGUUCGCGACCUCAACUCCGGUGCCAAACGUACGGCCGUCUGCAGCGUGAUCUCCGCUGUCGCCCCCACCAUCGUGUGCUUGCAGGAGACAAAACUUGCUCAUGUCACAGACUCGAUCGUCCUUGAUACCCUCGGCACCUUAUUUGAGGAUUUCUUCCUCCCCGCUACCGGCACACGUGGUGGCGUGCUU